CCUUAAUAGAUUACCUGCUUGCGUUUUUGUUGCCGCAGCUACUAUGUGUGCGUGACCGUACUGAUCUACUUCCUGCCCCUUUGCAUCAUGGGAUGGGCGUACAUGACGGUGGCCGUCACCCUGUGGGCGAGCGAGAUUCCAGGAGACUCAUCUGAACACUACGCAGAGCAACUCAUCGCCAAACGCAAGGUGGUGAAGAUGAUGAUCGUGGUGGUGUGCACCUUCGCCGUGUGCUGGCUGCCGUACCACGUCUACUUCCUGCUGCACCAGUUCUUCCCCGAACUGUUUGAGGAGCGCUACAUCCAGCAGGUCUACCUGGCCGUCAUGUGGCUGGCCAUGAGCUCCACCAUGUACAACCCAGUCAUCUACUACUGCUUGAACAGCAGGUUCAGAGCAGGCUUCCAGCAGGUGUUUUGCUGCUGUGCUCCCACCGUCACCAAAGAGGAGCUGCUGGAACUCAAAUCUCCUCGAUACCUGCAAACCCAGUAAAAAUCUAAAAGUAAUGCAGCCUGGUGGAUCCCAUCUUCUCGAUGUCCGUCAAUGGAUUCUGGAGUUACUGCAGUCAGCCCGAACCAGCCAAUCGGGGCUCGGUGUUCCCAGCAUCCCUUAGAACACUUCAAGACACAAAUACAUUUCUUCUCAGCUGAUGCCAUCCAACUCACCCUCAUCCGAAGCACUUUGGACUGCCAGAAACGGGUGACGAUCCGCUGACCGCUUUUAAUCUCGUCUCUCCCUGAAGAGAUUGACAAGAAGAUUAAAACAAGAGUUUACUUGUGAAAACAGUAACUGCAUAAAGACUUCUGCAGAAGUUGUAACUUAAUGACAAAGGUGUUUGUACUCGCAUCCAUAAGAGAGGAGAAGUUUGGAUUAAAACGGCAUGAACAUUUAAUAUAUAGUGAAAGUUAAAAAAAAAAUAAAACUAUUAUAACCUGAAGUAUUUGGUUUCUAAUUUUGGUUUCACAGAAAAAAAUGUACAUCUUUGCCAUCUCUGAGGCUAUUUUGGACCAAAUGUCAUCUUUGUACUGUGAGAUCAAAUUGCAAAUGUUUUUUUGUGUUCAGUGAACUAUGUGAUUGUACUAACUUUGUAAAAAUCUGUACAGUGGCAAUUAUGUAUGCAGUACUAUAUCGUUUUGUUUUUGUCAGACUUAAAUGUUUUAAAUGUUCAAACUGAUUUUAACAUCAAAAAUAACCUGAAUUUUCAAUUAAGUUCAGUUUAUUUGUAUGGCGCCAAUUAACGACAAAUUUUUUCAAAGAACUUUAGGAGAAAAAAGUCAUUUUAACCCAAUCAUACAAACGGGUUCCCAGUCAAACUGUGUAAGGUAGAGCUGUCCAAUGUGCGGCCCGGGGAACAUUUGUGACCUCUGGAGUGAUUGUGUGCGGCCAUGACUCCAGAUCAAAUACAGAUUACCUCAACUCAGUGCAGGUGGUUGAUGCAGAUGGAGACUUUGCCAUUUUUAAUUUUUAAUCGGCGCAAAAUUGUUGCAGGCAAACUUGAGCUUUAGUUUUCCUUUGAUGGAAAGACAAAUUUUCUCCAAACAGCUGACAUGCCGAUCCAUUCAUGUUGGUUGAGGUCAAAUUUUCUAGAAUAAAAGUUUUAAGAAA
Poecilia latipinna (sailfin molly) is the source of this 1602-nucleotide RNA transcript. It is a transcript of the gene named substance-P receptor-like, with no coding region annotated. Lineage: Eukaryota; Metazoa; Chordata; Actinopteri; Cyprinodontiformes; Poeciliidae. The transcript is spliced from 5 exons. The record is from RefSeq and is a predicted model, not a curated record.